GCAUGUAUUUCAGUGGUAGAGUGCUUGCCUAGAAUGCAAAAGCCCCAGGGUUCAAUCCCCAGUAAUGCA
This 69-nucleotide transfer RNA is filed under the name Marmota monax (woodchuck). Its description in RNAcentral is "tRNA.Ser". Lineage: Eukaryota; Metazoa; Chordata; Mammalia; Rodentia; Sciuridae. The record is from RNAcentral.